GCGGCAGGCCUAAUACAUGCAAGUCGAGCGCGCCCUUCGGGGUGAGCGGCGGACGGGUGAGUAACGCGUGGGAAUAUGCCCUUCUCUAAGGAAUAGCCUCUGGAAACGGAGAGUAAUACCUUAUACGCCCUUUGGGGGAAAGAUUUAUCGGAGAAGGAUUAGCCCGCGUUAGAUUAGGUAGUUGGUGGGGUAAUGGCCUACCAAGCCUACGAUCUAUAGCUGGUUUGAGAGGAUGAUCAGCCACACUGGGACUGAGACACGGCCCAGACUCCUACGGGAGGCAGCAGUAGGGAAUCUUAGACAAUGGGCGCAAGCCUGAUCUAGCCAUGCCGCGUGAGUGAAGAAGGCCUUAGGGUCGUAAAACUCUUUCGCCAGAGAUGAUAAUGACAGUAUCUGGUAAAGAAACCCCGGCUAACUCCGUGCCAGCAGCCGCGGUAAUACGGAGGGGGUUAGCGUUGUUCGGAAUUACUGGGCGUAAAGCGCACGUAGGCGGACUGGAAAGUUGGGGGUGAAAUCCCGGGGCUCAACCUCGGAACUGCCUCCAAAACUAUCAGUCUAGAGUUCGAGAGAGGUGAGUGGAAUUCCAAGCGUAGAGGUGAAAUUCGUAGAUAUUUGGAGGAACACCAGUGGCGAAGGCGGCUCACUGGCUCGAUACUGACGCUGAGGUGCGAAAGUGUGGGGAGCAAACAGGAUUAGAUACCCUGGUAGUCCACACCGUAAACGAUGAAUGCCAGUCGUCGGCAAGUAUACUUGUCGGUGACACACCUAACGGAUUAAGCAUUCCGCCUGGGGAGUACGGUCGCAAGAUUAAAACUCAAAGGAAUUGACGGGGGCCCGCACAAGCGGUGGAGCAUGUGGUUUAAUUUCGAAGC
RNAcentral lists this ribosomal RNA (872 nucleotides) under uncultured marine bacterium. RNAcentral describes it as "bacterial SSU rRNA". It matches the Rfam family "Bacterial small subunit ribosomal RNA", at positions 39 to 957 of the family's 1533-position model. The record is from RNAcentral.